Molecule: long non-coding RNA, 1748 nt
Organism: Gallus gallus (chicken)
Lineage: Eukaryota; Metazoa; Chordata; Aves; Galliformes; Phasianidae
Source: Ensembl
AAACUGGCAUCUUAAACAUAGGUGCAGUGAUUUUAUAUUCUAGAACAAUACUACAACACUAAAAAUUUUCAUUUAAAAAUUGCCAUGUACUUACAGCUAUACAAAUGACCUCGAGUUCAAUUCAAAUCAGCAAGAAAAAAGUAGCACACCUGCUUUUCCAAAUGUAAUGCAUGGAAAGAAGAAUCUCACCCCACAUCCAAAGUUGUAGGAAACACAAUGCUGAGGGCCUGCUAUGCUUUGAGAUGACUGCGAUUUGGUAGAUACUUGGGCUCCUACGUGUGGAUUUAAGAGCAUGAUUUUAAGCUUUAAAAACUUGGGACAAUUUCAUCUGCUGGUGCCAAAUAUUACUUCCUUUAACAGGAUCAUUUACAGGAUGACCUGAACAAGUCCUCGCCACAUCCAACCCUGGAACCGGGAAGUAAAAGCAUGCUGAAGUCUGCUGCCUCACUCAGAACCAAAAAUAAAUCAUAGGACAUCCAUCAGCUCUGAAUAACUUAAGAGUAAACAACUAUUACGUGUGCCAGAAUGAGCAGACUGUAUAAAGACGGACGAAUAUAUCCUGAAGCGUUUGUCUGUUUACUCUCCUGAACCCUUUAAUCGGAGAGCUUUGGCUUUCCUUUAACACUGAGAAACCAAACAGCACUGUGAACUCUUAACCUGUGAGAGGACAUCCACCGAUUGUAUUUUUGUCAGAGAAAAAAUUAUAGAACUGCCUAAAAAAGGUGAGAUCAAAGCUGUGAAGCCUGUCGAGGAGCUGGGCACAAAAGCUGUACUCUGCAAAAUGCAACAAGUGGAAGAAAGCAGUGGAUUUCUAUGCUUUUCUGUCAGAAUUCAGUAAGAGUUUUACUACGUGCUCCUUUCUGACAGAGUUGAAAUUUUCAGAAGCCCAGCAGACGUGCCGACAUUUUCUACCACCACUACUCUUUAGAACCAAGGAAGCUUGGAAACUUACUACUUCACAUCAAAGGAUUUUAUCAUUUCUACAGCACUAACAGAACACAGUUCCGAUUCAUAGCACAAGAAGUGCUUAUGUCCUCUGAAGACAAAAUGAAAAAACACCAUUUUACUUCUUGUGAUGUCAGUGCAGUGAUAGGUGAAGGUGAGUUCCUCCAUGUCCAAACGAGACAAGGUGAGGUCCUUUGGGGCCAGACAUUGCUGUGAGAGUGCUGGAGGAGCCAUUGCAGCAGGAGGGCCCCUCCUGGGAGCAGGACCAGAGUUUACAUGAGUGUGUGGCUUUGGUGGAAGUGACUUCAAGGCAGCAGACUUUCUCAUGCUUGCCAUCUGCUUGGUCUGAUCGCAGCCUUGGAAAUAACUUUUUAAGAACAAUGUAUGCCUUCUAAUUCCUGAAGCUUCUGACCCUUCCCUUCCAAAAUACCUGCCUUCUAAAGGUGGAAGUUUGCUGUGGUAACUCCUAGAUUGCUAAGAGCUCUGCAGCAUGCAGCAUGGCUUGCUUUUAUAUGUCCAAACUGGAGUUUCCAUUACUGGAAUUUGUUAUUCUGUUUUUAUUGCAUUAAAACAUAAUAAGGAACAAUAUGAGCAAUGCAAAGUUUAUCUGAAUAAUUACUGUAUUCUGGUAAAACUUGAAUUUAGUGUAGAAGUGGGGUCUACUUAAAGUACAAUCUAAAAGUGAAUUUAUAUUUCAUGCUGAUAUUGUGAGAAAGGGUAGUGUAACAUCAUGUCUGUUUAUAAUUUGCAUGAAAAGUGGAAAAUGCUUCUUCAGCCACUAAUAAAUCUAAUUCAGUUUGUGC